RNAcentral lists this ribosomal RNA (497 nucleotides) under uncultured bacterium. RNAcentral describes it as "partial 16S ribosomal RNA". It matches the Rfam family "Bacterial small subunit ribosomal RNA", at positions 28 to 507 of the family's 1533-position model. The record is from RNAcentral.
GACGAACGCUGGCGGCGUGCCUAAUACAUGCAAGUUGAGCGCCGAAGGUUGGUACUUGUACCAACUGGAUGAGCAGCGCACGGGUGAGUAACGCGUGGGGAAUCUGCCUUUGAGCGGGGGACAACAUUUGGAAACGAAUGCUAAUACCGCAUAAAAACUUUAAACACAAGUUUUAAGUUUGAAAGAUGCAAUUGCAUCACUCAAAGAUGAUCCCGCGUUGUAUUAGCUAGUUGGUGAGGUAAAGGCUCACCAAGGCGAUGAUACAUAGCCGACCUGAGAGGGGGAUCGGCCAACUUGGGACUGAGACACGGCCCAAACUCCUACGGGAGGCAGCAGUAGGGAAUCUUCGGCAAUGGACGAAAGGCUGAACGAGCAACGCCGCGUGAGGGAAGAAGGUUGUCGGAUCGUAAAACUCUGUUGGUAGAGAAGAACGUUGGUGAGAGUGGAAAGCGCAUCAAGUGACGGUAACUACCCAGAAAGGGACGGCUAACUACGUG